GGUUAAGCGACUAAGCGUACACGGUGGAUGCCCUGGCAGUCAGAGGCGAUGAAGGACGUGCUAAUCUGCGAUAAGCGUCGGUAAGGUGAUAUGAACCGUUAUAACCGGCGAUUUCCGAAUGGGGAAACCCAGUGUGUUUCGACACACUAUCAUUAACUGAAUCCAUAGGUUAAUGAGGCGAACCGGGGGAACUGAAACAUCUAAGUACCCCGAGGAAAAGAAAUCAACCGAGAUUCCCCCAGUAGCGGCGAGCGAACGGGGAGCAGCCCAGAGCCUGAAUCAGUGUGUGUGUUAGUGGAAGCGUCUGGAAAGGCGCGCGAUACAGGGUGACAGCCCCGUACACAAAAAUGCACAUGCUGUGAGCUCGAUGAGUAGGGCGGGACACGUGGUAUCCUGUCUGAAUAUGGGGGGACCAUCCUCCAAGGCUAAAUACUCCUGACUGACCGAUAGUGAACCAGUACCGUGAGGGAAAGGCGAAAAGAACCCCGGCGAGGGGAGUGAAAAAGAACCUGAAACCGUGUACGUACAAGCAGUGGGAGCACGCUUAGGCGUGUGACUGCGUACCUUUUGUAUAAUGGGUCAGCGACUUAUAUUCUGUAGCAAGGUUAACCGAAUAGGGGAGCCGAAGGGAAACCGAGUCUUAACUGGGCGUUAAGUUGCAGGGUAUAGACCCGAAACCCGGUGAUCUAGCCAUGGGCAGGUUGAAGGUUGGGUAACACUAACUGGAGGACCGAACCGACUAAUGUUGAAAAAUUAGCGGAUGACUUGUGGCUGGGGGUGAAAGGCCAAUCAAACCGGGAGAUAGCUGGUUCUCCCCGAAAGCUAUUUAGGUAGCGCCUCGUGAAUUCAUCUCCGGGGGUAGAGCACUGUUUCGGCAAGGGGGUCAUCCCGACUUACCAACCCGAUGCAAACUGCGAAUACCGGAGAAUGUUAUCACGGGAGACACACGGCGGGUGCUAACGUCCGUCGUGAAGAGGGAAACAACCCAGACCGCCAGCUAAGGUCCCAAAGUCAUGGUUAAGUGGGAAACGAUGUGGGAAGGCCCAGACAGCCAGGAUGUUGGCUUAGAAGCAGCCAUCAUUUAAAGAAAGCGUAAUAGCUCACUGGUCGAGUCGGCCUGCGCGGAAGAUGUAACGGGGCUAAACCAUGCACCGAAGCUGCGGCAGCGACGCUUAUGCGUUGUUGGGUAGGGGAGCGUUCUGUAAGCCUGCGAAGGUGUGCUGUGAGGCAUGCUGGAGGUAUCAGAAGUGCGAAUGCUGACAUAAGUAACGAUAAAGCGGGUGAAAAGCCCGCUCGCCGGAAGACCAAGGGUUCCUGUCCAACGUUAAUCGGGGCAGGGUGAGUCGAUCCCUAAGGCGAGGCCGAAAGGCGUAGUCGAUGGGAAACAGGUUAAUAUUCCUGUACUUGGUGUUACUGCGAAGGGGGGACGGAGAAGGCUAUGUUGGCCGGGCGACGGUUGUUCCGGUUUAAGCGUGUAGGCUGGUUUUCCAGGCAAAUCCGGAAAAUCAAGGCUGAGGCGUGAUGACGAGGCACUACGGUGCUGAAGCAACAAAUGCCCUGCUUCCAGGAAAAGCCUCUAAGCAUCAGGUAACAUCAAAUCGUACCCCAAACCGACACAGGUGGUCAGGUAGAGAAUACCAAGGCGCUUGAGAGAACUCGGGUGAAGGAACUAGGCAAAAUGGUGCCGUAACUUCGGGAGAAGGCACGCUGAUAUGUAGGUGAGGUCCCUCGCGGAUGGAGCUGAAAUCAGUCGAAGAUACCAGCUGGCUGCAACUGUUUAUUAAAAACACAGCACUGUGCAAACACGAAAGUGGACGUAUACGGUGUGACGCCUGCCCGGUGCCGGAAGGUUAAUUGAUGGGGUUAGCGCAAGCGAAGCUCUUGAUCGAAGCCCCGGUAAACGGCGGCCGUAACUAUAACGGUCCUAAGGUAGCGAAAUUCCUUGUCGGGUAAGUUCCGACCUGCACGAAUGGCGUAAUGAUGGCCAGGCUGUCUCCACCCGAGACUCAGUGAAAUUGAACUCGCUGUGAAGAUGCAGUGUACCCGCGGCAAGACGGAAAGACCCCGUGAACCUUUACUAUAGCUUGACACUGAACAUUGAGCCUUGAUGUGUAGGAUAGGUGGGAGGCUUUGAAGUGUGGACGCCAGUCUGCAUGGAGCCGACCUUGAAAUACCACCCUUUAAUGUUUGAUGUUCUAACGUUGACCCGUAAUCCGGGUUGCGGACAGUGUCUGGUGGGUAGUUUGACUGGGGCGGUCUCCUCCUAAAGAGUAACGGAGGAGCACGAAGGUUGGCUAAUCCUGGUCGGACAUCAGGAGGUUAGUGCAAUGGCAUAAGCCAGCUUGACUGCGAGCGUGACGGCGCGAGCAGGUGCGAAAGCAGGUCAUAGUGAUCCGGUGGUUCUGAAUGGAAGGGCCAUCGCUCAACGGAUAAAAGGUACUCCGGGGAUAACAGGCUGAUACCGCCCAAGAGUUCAUAUCGACGGCGGUGUUUGGCACCUCGAUGUCGGCUCAUCACAUCCUGGGGCUGAAGUAGGUCCCAAGGGUAUGGCUGUUCGCCAUUUAAAGUGGUACGCGAGCUGGGUUUAGAACGUCGUGAGACAGUUCGGUCCCUAUCUGCCGUGGGCGCUGGAGAACUGAGGGGGGCUGCUCCUAGUACGAGAGGACCGGAGUGGACGCAUCACUGGUGUUCGGGUUGUCAUGCCAAUGGCACUGCCCGGUAGCUAAAUGCGGAAGAGAUAAGUGCUGAAAGCAUCUAAGCACGAAACUUGCCCCGAGAUGAGUUCUCCCUGACCCUUUAAGGGUCCUGAAGGAACGUUGAAGACGACGACGUUGAUAGGCCGGGUGUGUAAGCGCAGCGAUGCGUUGAGCUAACCGGUACUAAUGAACCGUGAGGCUUAACCUU
RNAcentral lists this ribosomal RNA (2904 nucleotides) under Escherichia coli. RNAcentral's name for it is "23S ribosomal RNA". It matches the Rfam family "Bacterial large subunit ribosomal RNA". Lineage: Bacteria; Pseudomonadati; Pseudomonadota; Gammaproteobacteria; Enterobacterales; Enterobacteriaceae. The record is from RNAcentral.